GGAUCGGAUAAUCGCAAAUGCACAUCAUUUUGUCAAGCGUUCUUACCCCACCGACCUACAAACUGUCACCUUUUCGAUCAACCAUCUGUUGAGUUCUAGGAUAUGAUGAGCUCACAGAGCCGAUUCAUCCUAAAUUCUAAAUCCCUUGCCUCCAAUUAGGACUAUAUAUAUAUUUACUGGAUUAAUUUCCCUCACUAUCCCUAUUGAAAUCAUCUAUAUAAACAAAAAUGUUGGAUGAUGGGCAGUCGAAAAAGGGUGAAUG
Molecule: non-coding RNA, 262 nt
Organism: Caenorhabditis elegans
Lineage: Eukaryota; Metazoa; Nematoda; Chromadorea; Rhabditida; Rhabditidae
Source: Ensembl